UAGAGGGACUGUAUCAUACGAUAACUGCACCUAGAGGUUCAUCUAUUCCAUUCUGCUGGGUUGCCACUACAUGCUGCUAGGUGUCACUGGUGGAUUGUGAGACUCAGAGGCAUUCACUUGAUGAUCAGUGAAUCCGAAUGAGAACAGUGAAAAUUGUUCCAACCCAUUGAAAGAAGUUUCAAUGAUAUUGUGAUAGAGAUCAUAAUAUAUCUCACUACCAGACAGAAUAGAACCUAUGGGGUCACACACAUUAGAGGUAUUGACCGAUCCGAUGGUUGAAUUGUGAUUUGGAAUCACAAAUAAUUUAUAAUUAUCAAUUUGAUUGAUAAUUGUUUUAACUCACUAAGAGUUAGUGAGUAGAAGAAGGA
This 368-nucleotide long non-coding RNA is filed under the name Phoenix dactylifera (date palm). RNAcentral describes it as "long non-coding RNA (PDAC_LNC017780)". Lineage: Eukaryota; Viridiplantae; Streptophyta; Magnoliopsida; Arecales; Arecaceae. The record is from RNAcentral.